RNAcentral lists this ribosomal RNA (440 nucleotides) under uncultured bacterium. Its description in RNAcentral is "partial 16S ribosomal RNA". It matches the Rfam family "Bacterial small subunit ribosomal RNA", at positions 338 to 795 of the family's 1533-position model. The record is from RNAcentral.
CCUACGGGAGGCAGCAGUAGGGAAUAUUGCUCAAUGGGCGAAACCCUGAAGCAGCAACGCCGCGUGGAGGAUGAAGGUUUUAGGAUUGUAAACUCCUUUUGUUAGAGAAGAUUAUGACGGUAUCUAACGAAUAGUCACCGGCUAACUCCGUGCCAGCAGCCGCGGUCAUACGGAGGGUGCAAGCGUUACGCGGAAGCACUGGGCGUAAAGGGUGCGUAGGCGGGGUAAUAAGUCAGAUGUUAAAUCCUGUAGCUUAAAUACAGAACUGAAUUUGAAACUAUUAAUCUGGAGUGUGGGAGAGGUAGGUGGAAUUCUUGGUGUAGGGGUAAAAUCCGUAGAGAUAAAGAAGAAUACUCAUUGCGAAGGCGACCUACUGGAACAAUACUGACGCUGAUGCACGAAAGCGUGGGGAGCAAACAGGAUUAGAUACCCGGGUAGUC